This 433-nucleotide ribosomal RNA is filed under the name uncultured bacterium. RNAcentral describes it as "partial 16S ribosomal RNA". It matches the Rfam family "Bacterial small subunit ribosomal RNA", at positions 29 to 507 of the family's 1533-position model. The record is from RNAcentral.
AACGAACGCUGGCGGCAUGCCUAACACAUGCAAGUCGAACGAGACCUUCGGGUCUAGUGGCGCACGGGUGCGUAACGCGUGGGAACCUGCCCUUAGGUUCGGAAUAACUCCCCGAAAGGGGUGCUAAUACCGGAUAAUGUCUUCGGACCAAAGAUUUAUCGCCUUUGGAUGGGCCCGCGUUGGAUUAGCUAGUUGGUAGGGUAAAAGCCUACCAAGGCGACGAUCCAUAGCUGGUCUGAGAGGAGGAUCAGCCACACUGGGACUGAGACACGGCCCAGACUCGGACGGGAGGCAGCAGUGGGGAAUAUUAGACGAGGGGCGAAAGCCUGAUCCAGCAAUGCCGCGGGAGUGAUGAAGGGCUUAGGGUUGUAAAGCUCUUUUACACGGGAUGAUAAUGACAGUACCGGGAGAAGAAGCUCCGGCUAACUCCGUG